AAGCCCCACCCUCACCUUUUUAUCCCAGAGCCCAGCGCUCUUGUCCAGGUAUGUUCCUAGUUUUGUCUCUGGAACAAGCACCUGAAUGCAGAGUUCCACAAAAGGAGGACUCUCUCUGCUGUUUCCUAAUUUGCAACCCAGCGCUGGAACUGUGCCCGCGGAUGCUGAACCGAGUGGCCCAGCUCUCUCCAGCCAGAGCUCCGUGGUGACAGGAAGUCAAACCCCGGUCUGAGGCUGGGGAUUGGCCCCUGAGGAGGAGGAGCCCAUCAGGUCACGCCCACCACUCCGUCCUGGUCUGUCCUGGUUUGUCGGGCCCAGGUGCCCCUCAUCUGGGGAGAAUCCCCACCUCCUUCAGGCAGCUUCCUCUCGAAGGGCUCAGACGGUCAGGGAAUUCUGAGCCUUUGCCCUGGCCAGGCCAGGCGGAGCUGCGGGCUCCGGCUCGGAGAGUGAGACCCUCCGGGGACCCUCCAGGCAGCCGAACCGCAGCGGGCAUCGCCGGCGUCCCCGCUGCUUCGAGGACCUGGCGCUGGAGGAGAGAGUCGGCCCCUCCAGCUCCAGCAGGAGGUCUGGCCCCUAGAGACAUGUGAGAUUUCAACUCCUGGACCAUAUAAAAACCAUCCCUGAGAAAGCAGUAACCCACAUAAGGCCACCACAUCACAGGACCCCUGGAAUAGGGUGACAUGUGUCCUGGUCCAAACACCUCUGCUCCCUGGGGCCUGCCUGCAGCUGGCGGUACAAAGGGGCCAUAGGUGUAAAGGCCCCAGAGAGAAACGGGGGAAGGUGGAAUGUAUUGAUUGCUUUCACCCAGGAUCAUUUGCCAGGGAGGAGCCCUCUGGUGUCCUAGAGACCCCCAAGGUGCCCGGCAAAGAGGCCAAAAGCAGACACCCAAUGAGGAGGACUCGGCUUGCUUUACACGGGAGAAGGUCCAAGGUGCCCAAGAGGGUCGCACGGAGCCUCCAAGAGGCUGCGGGGCGGGGGCUGCUGUAGGAGUUUGCCAUCAGAAGGCCCCCACCUACACCACCACUCAUGGUGGGCAUGUGGAACACAUUUCACACAGGGAAUUUCUGCAUCCUUGUUAAGCCUCAUUUGUAUCACAUGAUGGACAGUUGAAACUGGCUCGUGACCAUCUCAUGGACGGAGGGACCCUGCACAUCAGCUGGUGCCUCAUGGCCCACCCAGGACCACGGCCUCAGAUGCUCGGGGCAUGACCCGCUCCCCUCUCCUGGCCUUGUUUGUUGAAACCUGCAGGAUCCUAUGCGCUAAUUCCCAAGGAAUGAAACAGCCGGAGGGACCCUAGAAUGCCGGACUCUCAUUCCAGCGGAUUAAUGGCUCUCCCAAUCCGAUUGGACAAGUUUCAGAAGCUGCUUCCCUCCCACUUGACUCCCCUCCUGGUCUUUGGUUCCUCCUGCCUCCCAGGCAGGAGUCCUGGGUUGGAAUAAGGGAAACUGCUGAAUGCAGACUUGCGGGCCACGUAGAACACAAGCAAAGAGCGGGAAAGCACGAAUGCAGUCUUCCACUGCCACAAACUAUGCAGUCGAGUUUCCCACAUUUGGGGAAAUUGCAGAGGUCAACACAUCCGGAGUGCAAUGGCUGAGCCUCACCCUGGGAAAACCACCUUCGUGAUCAUGGUCUCUCCCCUGCCAGUUAAGGAUAUAAGUGGUAACUUUUGAAGAUUUUUAUUUUCUAUUUGCUUGUUGCUGCUAUAUCUAUAUUAAAAAAAAUUGUGUGUUAAUCUUGUAUCCAACAAUCUGGCCACAUUUAAGUGUUAAUUCUAAUCGAUGAUUGGUAAACUCUUUUGGAUUUUCUACAUUAUGUUGUGUCUGAAUAAUGAGAACUUACUUUCUCCUUUCCCAAGGCUUAUGCCUUUAAUUUCUUUCUCCUGCUGUUUCACGCUGGCUGUGUUAAAUGGAUGGGGUGAGAAAGGAUGUCACAGCUUUAGCUAUUUCUUCCCCCUUCCCCCCAUUAAAAAGCUUAUGAAGGAUUCUGGGAAGAGUGCAGUAGUAACAUAGUUUUUGGAUAUUCCAAGAGCCCCGCUUAAAUACAGGUAGUACAACCAGAUAGAAAAAGAAAAAUUCCCGAGAAUGUACGGUGGAGUUUCCCAGAGGCCACGUGACACGCCACAGCCCAACAGAUUAAAUGUACAAGCAGAUGUAAGAAUCCAACUGUCUUCUUCUUCUUUUUUUUAAUUAAAG
Balaenoptera musculus (blue whale) is the source of this 2192-nucleotide long non-coding RNA. RefSeq lists it as uncharacterized. Lineage: Eukaryota; Metazoa; Chordata; Mammalia; Artiodactyla; Balaenopteridae. The transcript is spliced from 4 exons. The record is from RefSeq and is a predicted model, not a curated record.